Molecule: long non-coding RNA, 454 nt
Filed under: Homo sapiens (human)
Lineage: Eukaryota; Metazoa; Chordata; Mammalia; Primates; Hominidae
Description: HSALNT0086558
Source: RNAcentral
GGAUACCCACCUCCGAGCUGUGAAAGAAAAGGGCUUGGGUCUUCCCCUACCUGAGGAGUCUGCACACCGGAUGUGCACCCUCCCCCGAGCUCUGGCCGGGAGGCUUCUUGCCCAGUUCAAAUUGUUACAAGGUUCAGCUAGAGAUUUUCUUCUCCCUGUGGAGUUUUACCCCCUGCUCCUCUGGCCACCCUCCCAAUGGAACCCUGUGAUGCCCAGCAGGAAUGGGCUGCUUGGGCACCCAGCGAGCUCCCAGUGCCUUUCUGCUACUUCCUCUACCCCUGUAUUUCGCUCAGCUCUCUAAAUUGACUCAGCUCCAGGUCAUCAGGAAGGGAGUUGAAAUCAGCCUGCCAUUGAGCUACAAAAUCUUGCUUGUGAUCCGGACGCUUUAGAAACUCCUGGAAACUUGUUCUGUAGACAUUAAUAGAAUGAGAUAAAUUUUAUAUGUCAUGCCUCU